GAAAUGCGAAAAGUAAUGUGAAUUGCAGAAUUCAGUGAAUCAUCGAAUCUUUGAACGCACAUUGCGCCCAUUAGUAUUCUAGUGGGCAUGCCUGUUCGAGCGUCAUUACAACCCUCAAGCGCUGUAGUGCUUGGUGUUGGGGCAUCUGCUGCUUAUGGCAGGCCCUGAAAGAUAGUGGCGAGCUCGCCGUGACCCUGAGCGUAGUAGUUUACACCUCGCUUCUGUGGUUCAUAGCGGGUCUUCAGCCGUGAAAACCCCCUAAUUUUCACAAGGUUGACCUCGGAUCAGGUAGGAAUACCCGCUGAACUUAA
Molecule: unclassified non-coding RNA, 311 nt
Filed under: uncultured Conlarium
Lineage: Eukaryota; Fungi; Ascomycota; Sordariomycetes
Description: sequence contains ITS1
Rfam family: 5.8S ribosomal RNA (bases 1-105)
Source: RNAcentral